Molecule: unclassified non-coding RNA, 240 nt
Filed under: Glomus sp.
Lineage: Eukaryota; Fungi; Glomeromycota; Glomeromycetes; Glomerales; Glomeraceae
Description: partial contains 5.8S ribosomal RNA and internal transcribed spacer 2
Rfam family: 5.8S ribosomal RNA (bases 1-71)
Source: RNAcentral
GUGAAUCAUCGAAUCUUUGAACGCAAAUUGCACUCUCUGGUAUUCCGGAGAGUAUGCCUGUUUGAGGGUCAGUAUAACUAACAAUCGGUGUGGUUGCUGCCUUUCGUGGUGACGCACCGCAUUUGAGUCGCAUUGCCCUCGAUUAAGUGACCUAAAAUUUUGCAUGAUAUUUUUCGUACGUAUUUACAUGAUUUUACGUACGUUUGCGAUAUCCAAUACUAGGUGUGGUCAUCGUCAUGA